Molecule: long non-coding RNA, 502 nt
Filed under: Equus asinus (donkey)
Lineage: Eukaryota; Metazoa; Chordata; Mammalia; Perissodactyla; Equidae
Description: lncRNA (ENSEASG00005025579.1)
Source: RNAcentral
GUCUACAGUCAUGCGGUCAAGGAGAGCUCAAGGAGAGUGGGCAUCGAAGCUUCUACUCUCUAACUGGAAGAAAUGUCUGUCUGUGACUACUGGAUCUGCCUUCAGAGACUUAGAAGGGACAUCAAGCCAAGCAGAAAAUACAAAUUUUUGUUUCAUAGAAAGCUUAAAGAGUUAGGGAAAAGACAGGAAGAUAAUGGAGAAAAUGGAGAAGGGACCUUUGCUGAUGCUGACCCUCCCAUUCCUUCCUGUCCUUCAAGGUGUGGUUCAAGUCACACCUCUGCUGUGAUCUGAAAGCCCUCAGUGCUCUCUGGCAGCAAUGUCUUGUCUCCCCAACAUACAAGGCCUUCUACAUCUUUGUGGAUUCCUCAAGAUCCCAACGUCUUGCUCAGAGUUGACUUUCCACCCUGCCACUGACUUUCCUGUUGGCUGGUAUACACAGAUUUAAUUGAUUGGAAAUAAUUCAGAUGAAAUGUAAGCUCUCCUACUGAAUGCUAGAUUUUGG